GUCUACGGCCAUGCUACCCUAAACAAGCCUGAUCCUGUCUGAUCUCAGAAGCUAAACAGGGUUGGGCCUGGAUAGUACUUGGAUGGGAGACCACCUAGGAACACCAGGUGUUGUAGGCC
Molecule: ribosomal RNA, 119 nt
Filed under: Pteropus alecto (black flying fox)
Lineage: Eukaryota; Metazoa; Chordata; Mammalia; Chiroptera; Pteropodidae
Source: RNAcentral